This 490-nucleotide ribosomal RNA is filed under the name fungal endophyte. RNAcentral describes it as "eukaryotic LSU rRNA". The stretch from base 175 to 328 matches the Rfam family "5.8S ribosomal RNA". Lineage: Eukaryota; Fungi. The record is from RNAcentral.
UUGCUGGACGCGCCCCAGGCGCACCCAGAAACCCUUUGUGAACUUAUACCUUUUGUUGCCUCGGCGCUGCUGGUCUCUAGUAGGCCCCUCACUUCGGUGAGGAAAAGGCACGCCGGCGGCCAAAUCAACUCUGUUUUUACACUGAAACUCUGAGAAAAAACACAAAUGAAUCAAAACUUUCAACAACGGAUCUCUUGGUUCUGGCAUCGAUGAAGAACGCAGCGAAAUGCGAUAAGUAAUGUGAAUUGCAGAAUUCAGUGAAUCAUCGAAUCUUUGAACGCACAUUGCGCCCUCUGGUAUUCCGGAGGGCAUGCCUGUUCGAGCGUCAUUUCAACCCUCAAGCAUUGCUUGGUGUUGGGGCACUGCUUCUAACGAAGCAGGCCCUGAAAUCUAGUGGCGAGCUCGCCAGGACCCCGAGCGCAGUAGUUAAACCCUCGCUCUGGAAGGCCCUGGCGGUGCCCUGCCGUUAAACCCCCAACUUCUGAAAAUU